This 513-nucleotide ribosomal RNA is filed under the name Fusarium oxysporum. RNAcentral's name for it is "eukaryotic LSU rRNA". The stretch from base 149 to 302 matches the Rfam family "5.8S ribosomal RNA". Lineage: Eukaryota; Fungi; Ascomycota; Sordariomycetes; Hypocreales; Nectriaceae. The record is from RNAcentral.
CCGAGUUUACAACUCCCAAACCCCUGUGAACAUACCACUUGUUGCCUCGGCGGAUCAGCCCGCUCCCGGUAAAACGGGACGGCCCGCCAGAGGACCCCUAAACUCUGUUUCUAUAUGUAACUUCUGAGUAAAACCAUAAAUAAAUCAAAACUUUCAACAACGGAUCUCUUGGUUCUGGCAUCGAUGAAGAACGCAGCAAAAUGCGAUAAGUAAUGUGAAUUGCAGAAUUCAGUGAAUCAUCGAAUCUUUGAACGCACAUUGCGCCCGCCAGUAUUCUGGCGGGCAUGCCUGUUCGAGCGUCAUUUCAACCCUCAAGCACAGCUUGGUGUUGGGACUCGCGUUAAUUCGCGUUCCUCAAAUUGAUUGGCGGUCACGUCGAGCUUCCAUAGCGUAGUAGUAAAACCCUCGUUACUGGUAAUCGUCGCGGCCACGCCGUUAAACCCCAACUUCUGAAUGUUGACCUCGGAUCAGGUAGGAAUACCCGCUGAACUUAAGCAUAUCAAUAAGCGGAGG